GAUGAAGAACGUAGCGAAAUGCGAUAAGUAGUGUGAAUUGCAGAAUUCCGUGAAUCAUCGAAUCUUUGAACGCACAUUGCGCCCGCCAGUAUUCUGGCGGGCAUGCCUGUUCGAGCGUCAUUACAACCCUCAGGCCCCCGGGCCUGGCGUUGGGGAUCGGCGGAGCCCCCCGUGGGCACACGCCGUCCCCCAAAUGCAGUGGCGGUCCCGCCGCAGCUUCCAUCGCGUAGUAGCUAACACCUCGCGACUGGAGAGCGGCGCGGCCACGCCGUAAAACACCCAACUCUUCUGAAGUUGACCUCGAAUCAGGUAGGAAUACCCGCUGAACUUAAGCAUAUCAAUAAGCGGAGGA
Molecule: unclassified non-coding RNA, 352 nt
Filed under: soil metagenome
Description: partial contains 5.8S ribosomal RNA, internal transcribed spacer 2, and large subunit ribosomal RNA
Rfam family: 5.8S ribosomal RNA (bases 1-120)
Source: RNAcentral